This 318-nucleotide long non-coding RNA is filed under the name Junco hyemalis (dark-eyed junco). RNAcentral describes it as "lncRNA (ENSJHYG00000016627.1)". Lineage: Eukaryota; Metazoa; Chordata; Aves; Passeriformes; Passerellidae. The record is from RNAcentral.
CUGAAAGUGCAAUGAAGCAGCAAUGAUUUUCCAGCAUUCUUAUGUGUUCAAAACCAUGUAAGAUCUUGUCCAUCUCUGCUGACCUCUAUCUGCCUUGGUCCUGACAGAAAGAACUGCCAAACCAGAAUUGUUUUAAUUGUCUGUUGAAAAAAAUUUUUACCCUGCAAUCUUAAUUCCUUUUUGAAUCUUUUUCUCUCUUUCUUUAUGUCAGUACUUAUGCCCAGUGAAGUAUGAAUAAGUAUUGGUAUAGUGAACAUGAAAUUGCUGAUACUACUAGCAAUCCAUUUAUGAAAUAAAGUAAAUUUAUAAUUUUGGACA